AGAGUUGAUCCUGGCUCAGAAUGAACGCUGGCGGCAUGGAUUAGGCAUGCAAGUCGAACGUACUCCCUUCGGGGAGAAAGUGGCGAAAGGGUGAGUAACACGUGAGCAACCUGCCUCCGGAUCCGGAAUAAUCCAGGGAAACUUGGUCUAAAACCGAAUGAAGACAUUGGUCCGCAUGGUCUAAUGUUAAAAUAUUUAUAGUCCGGAGAGGGGCUCGCGGCCCAUUAGCUUGUUGGCGGGGUAAUGGCCCACCAAGGCUACGACGGGUAGGUGGUCUGAGAGGAUGGUCACCCACACUGGGACUGAGACACUGCCCAGACUCCUACGGGAGGCUGCAGUCGAGAAUCUUCCGCAAUGGGCGCAAGCCUGACGGAGCGAUGCCGCGUGAGGGAUGAAGGCCUUCGGGUUGUAAACCUCUGUCAUCCGGGACGAAAACAAUGACGGUACCGGAAAAGGAAGCCACGGCUAACCACGUGCCAGCCGCUGC
RNAcentral lists this ribosomal RNA (487 nucleotides) under uncultured bacterium. RNAcentral describes it as "bacterial SSU rRNA". It matches the Rfam family "Bacterial small subunit ribosomal RNA", at positions 8 to 518 of the family's 1533-position model. The record is from RNAcentral.